AUUGAACGCUGGCGGCAUGCCUUACACAUGCAAGUCGAACGGCAGCACGGGUGCUUGCACCUGGUGGCGAGUGGCGAACGGGUGAGUAAUACAUCGGAACGUACCUUAUCGUGGGGGAUAACGCAGCGAAAGCUGUGCUAAUACCGCAUACGCCCUGAGGGGGAAAGCGGGGGAUCGCAAGACCUCGCGCGAUUAGAGCGGCCGAUGCCUGAUUAGCUUGUUGGUGGGGUAAAAGCCCACCAAGGCGACGAUCAGUAGCUGGUCUGAGAGGACGAUCAGCCAAACUGGGACUGGGACACGGCCCAGACUCCUACGGGGGGCAGCAGUGGGGAAUUUUGGACAAUGGGGGCAACCCUGAUCCAGCAAUGCCGCGUGAGUGAAGAAGGCCUUCGGGUUGUAAAGCUCUUUUGUCAGGGAAGAAACACCGGCUCUAACACAGUCUGGGAAUGACGGUACCUGAAGAAUAAGCACCGGCUAACUACGUGCCAGCCGCCGCCGUAA
RNAcentral lists this ribosomal RNA (501 nucleotides) under uncultured bacterium. Its description in RNAcentral is "partial 16S ribosomal RNA". It matches the Rfam family "Bacterial small subunit ribosomal RNA", at positions 29 to 523 of the family's 1533-position model. The record is from RNAcentral.